RNAcentral lists this small RNA (412 nucleotides) under Arabidopsis thaliana (thale cress). Its description in RNAcentral is "ATSL043550". The record is from RNAcentral. Lineage: Eukaryota; Viridiplantae; Streptophyta; Magnoliopsida; Brassicales; Brassicaceae.
AAUACAAAUAAAAAUACAAACCACAACUCCUAAAGCUAAACUUUUGCCAAGUACUAGAUUUUAACCCGCAGUAUACCGCGGGAACAAUUUAUUUUUUAAAGUUAGUAUAUAUAAAAGUUUACAAAUUGUAUCUAUCUAUAAAAUAAUUUUAUUUUAUAGUUUACAAAUGUUAUUAAGUAACGUCCUGCUAAACCCGUCCUAUAAAAAAAACCAUUUAUUUUAUUAAUGUUGAUCUUAUUUAUGAUAUGCUUAUGAAUCAUUGUCUAAAUAUUUUGUAAUUUUGUAGUAAUUAAAUGCUAUCAGAUUAUAUCUCUGCGCUUUGAUGAUUAUAAUCGAAUUGUUAUAGUUAUGGAGAAAAUCAAUAUCAAAAAUGAUAAUUUUAUAGUAAUUAAAUGAUAUUAAAUAAUUUGGA